GGUGGAGCAUGUGGUUUAAUUCGAAGCUACGCGAAGAACCUUACCAGGUCUUGACAUCUUGCGCCAACCCUAGAGAUAGGGCGUUUCCUUCGGGAACGCAAUGACAGGUGGUGCAUGGUCGUCGUCAGCUCGUGUCGUGAGAUGUUGGGUUAAGUCCCGCAACGAGCGCAACCCUUGUUACUAGUUGCCAGCAUUAAGUUGGGCACUCUAGUGAGACUGCCGGUGACAAACCGGAGGAAGGUGGGGACGACGUCAGAUCAUCAUGCCCCUUAUGACCUGGGCUACACACGUGCUACAAUGGACGGUACAACGAGUCGCGAACUCGCGAGGGCAAGCAAAUCUCUUAAAACCGUUCUCAGUUCGGACUGCAGGCUGCAACUCGCCUGCACGAAGUCGGAAUCGCUAGUAAUCGCGGAUCAGCAUGCCGCGGUGAAUACGUUCCCGGGCCUUGUACACACCGCCC
RNAcentral lists this ribosomal RNA (463 nucleotides) under Limosilactobacillus fermentum. Its description in RNAcentral is "bacterial SSU rRNA". It matches the Rfam family "Bacterial small subunit ribosomal RNA", at positions 931 to 1395 of the family's 1533-position model. The record is from RNAcentral. Lineage: Bacteria; Bacillati; Bacillota; Bacilli; Lactobacillales; Lactobacillaceae.